Molecule: ribosomal RNA, 532 nt
Filed under: uncultured bacterium
Lineage: Bacteria
Description: bacterial SSU rRNA
Rfam family: Bacterial small subunit ribosomal RNA
Source: RNAcentral
AGUCAAUAGAUACCCCGGUAGUCCAUGCCGUAAACGAUGAAUACUAGGUGUAGGGGUUGUCAUGACCUCUGUGCCGCCGCUAACGCAUUAAGUAUUCCGCCUGGGGAGUAAGGUCGCAAGAUUAAAACUCAAAGGAAUUGACGGGGGCCCGCACAAGCAGCGGAGCAUGUGGUUUAAUUCGAAGCAACGCGAAGAACCUUACCUAGACUUGACAUCUCCUGAAUUACUCUGUAAUGGAGGAAGCCACUUCGGUGGCAGGAAGACAGGUGGUGCAUGGUUGUCGUCAGCUCGUGUCGUGAGAUGUUGGGUUAAGUCCCGCAACGAGCGCAACCCUUAUUGUUAGUUGCUACCAUUUAGUUGAGCACUCUAGCGGGACUGCCCGGGUUAACCGGGAGGAAGGUGGGGAUGACGUCAAAUCAUCAUGCCCCUUAUGUCUAGGGCUACACACGUGCUACAAUGGUCGGUACAAUGAGAUGCAACCUCGCGAGAGUGAGCAAAACUAUAAAACCGAUCUCAGUUCGGAUUGUAGGCU